Molecule: ribosomal RNA, 1440 nt
Filed under: metagenome
Description: bacterial LSU rRNA
Rfam family: Bacterial large subunit ribosomal RNA
Source: RNAcentral
UGUGGGGACACGUGUGGAGAGCACAAGCCGGAAAUGGAAAAGCCGGUGCAAGCGAGGUAGGAGAUGAACAGGCAAAUCCGUUCAUCAAUCCGAAGACGUGAUGCGGACCGAAUUAAGAGUAGGGAAGUGUGUGAGCCAUGCGUCAAGAAAAGCCGCUAUUGUUUUACUUAAGCCCGUACCGUAAACCGACACAGGUGGAUGAGGAGAGAAUCCUAAGGCCGACGGGAGAAGCAUUGUUAAGGAACUCGGCAAAAUGACUCCGUAACUUCGGGAGAAGGAGUGCCAGCGAGAGCUGGCCGCAGAGAAUUGGCCCAAGCAACUGUUUAGCAAAAACACAGGUCUAUGCAAAACCGUAAGGUGAAGUAUAUGGGCUGACGCCUGCCCGGUGCUGGAAGGUUAAGAGGAGAGGUUAGCGGCAACGCGAAGCUUUGAAUUUAAGCCCCAGUAAACGGCGGCCGUAACUAUAACGGUCCUAAGGUAGCGAAAUUCCUUGUCGGGUAAGUUCCGACCCGCACGAAAGGCGUAAUGAUUUGGGCACUGUCUCAACAAUGCACCCGGUGAAAUUGAAAUACCAGUGAAGAUGCUGGUUACCUGCGCCAGGACGGAAAGACCCCAUGGAGCUUUACUCCAGCUUGAUACUGGGAUUCGGUAUUGCAUGUACAGGAUAGGUGGGAGGCUAGGAAGUGAUAACGCCAGUUGUCACGGAGCCGCUGUUGGGAUACCACCCUUGCAGUAUUGGAUUUCUAACCAGCGACCAUGAACUGGUCGGGGGACAAUGUCAGGUGGGGAGUUUGACUGGGGCGGUCGCCUCCGAAAGGGUAUCGGAGGCGCUCAAAGGUUCCCUCAGAAUGGACGGAAACCAUUCGAAGAGUGCAAAGGCAGAAGGGAGCUUGACUGCGACACCGACGGGUGGAGCAGGUACGAAAGUAGGACUUAGUGAUCCGGUGGUAUAAAGUGGGAUUGCCAUCGCUCAACGGAUAAAAGCUACCCUGGGAUAACAGGCUUAUCACUCCCAAGAGUUCACAUCGACGGAGUGGUUUGGCACCUCGAUGUCGGCUCAUCGCAUCCUGGGGCUGAAGUAGGUCCCAAGGGUUGGGCUGUUCGCCCAUUAAAGCGGUACGCGAGCUGGGUUCAGAACGUCGUGAGACAGUUCGGUCCCUAUCCGGCGUGGGCGUAGGAUAUUUGAGAGGAGCUGUCCUUAGUACGAGAGGACCGGGAUGGACUGGCCGCUGGUGUAUCUGUUGCAUACCAAAUGCAUGGCAGAGUAGCCAAGCCGGGACGGGAUAAACGCUGAAGGCAUCUAAGCGUGAAGCCCCCCUCAAGAUGAGAUAUCCCUACGUAAGUAGUAAGACCCCUUGAAGACGACGAGGUAGAUAGGUCAGAGGUGGAAGUACAGUAAUGUAUGGAGCUGACUGAUACUAAUCGGUCGAGGGCAUGACU